CGAUAUCGACGAGUUGAUCAUGGCUCAGAACGAACGCUGGCGGCAGGCCUAACACAUGCAAGUCGAGCGAUCCUUUCGGGGAUAGCGGCGGACGGGUGAGUAACGCGUGGGAACGUACCCUUUGCUACGGAAUAGCCCCGGGAAACUGGGAGUAAUACCGUAUGUGCCCUCUGGGGGAAAGAUUUAUCGGCAAAGGAUCGGCCCGCGUUGGAUUAGGUAGUUGGUGGGGUAAUGGCCUACCAAGCCGACGAUCCAUAGCUGGUUUGAGAGGAUGAUCAGCCACACUGGGACUGAGACACGGCCCAGACUCCUACGGGAGGCAGCAGUGGGGAAUCUUAGACAAUGGGGGCAACCCUGAUCUAGCCAUGCCGCGUGAGUGAUGAAGGCCCUAGGGUUGUAAAGCUCUUUCAGCUGGGAAGAUAAUGACGGUACCAGCAGAAGAAGCCCGGCUAACUCCGUG
This 460-nucleotide ribosomal RNA is filed under the name uncultured bacterium. Its description in RNAcentral is "bacterial SSU rRNA". It matches the Rfam family "Bacterial small subunit ribosomal RNA", at positions 1 to 507 of the family's 1533-position model. The record is from RNAcentral.